UGAUGAUUGUUUUAUAUUAAUAUACUUAUAGUUUUUAUAAAUUGAUAUUUUUCAUAACCAGUAGUUGAUCCAAGUGCACUGAAGUCAUUGUUUAUUAUUUUAUUGGUUGUUUGUUGAGUUGAGCAGAAGGAUUGGCAAAAACAAAGACAAUUUUUAUUUGUAUUUUGACAUAUACCUCCACAGGUUAAAUAGUAAAGUUAAAAUGUGAUUAUGUAUACUUUUCUUAGCUUAAGGAUGUACUUAGGACUAGGUGAUCUUAGGUAAAAUUAAAUAAAUCAAAAUAAGCUCAAAAUAUUGAUCGGUCAUGGAGCUCCUUUUCGAGAUAUUUUUUAUUUAAAAUAUGGCAGGACAAGGCUGACUCGUACUUUUACCUUAUAUUUGCAUUGGUAUUAUUUGGGUCACAAAUCAAAAGAAAGAAAAUCAAGAAUCUGCUAAAAUUUUGUCAAAUGGACCGUUAUGGGCUAUUAAGUCUUAUAUUAAAAGAUAAAUAGGUGUUAUGGGGCAAAAUAUUUCACCUGAUAUUGUAUGGAAAAACACCAAGGAGUCCCAAUAUUUGACUAGCUGAAAAUUGAAUAUAAAUACAAUAUUGAAGGACCUUCAUGUCAAAUCAGAAGUGGGUGGUCCCUAGAAGAUUUAAGGCAGGGGAUAUCCCCUAGAAGAUCUACGAGUUUUUAUGUGAAAAAUUCUGCAUUCUGAUGUUUUUCUUGUAAAUGCCCAAAACAAUCUUAAGACUGAAAAAAAAUUCUGAACAAAAAGUUCUGCAUAGCAUACAUAUAGACAAUAUAUUCAAUGACUCAUCAGUGGUCCUGAUCCAAUGACUCAUUGGGG
Molecule: long non-coding RNA, 828 nt
Filed under: Mytilus galloprovincialis (Mediterranean mussel)
Lineage: Eukaryota; Metazoa; Mollusca; Bivalvia; Mytilida; Mytilidae
Source: RNAcentral